GAUUAACGCUGGCGGCAUGCCUAAUACAUGCAAGUCGAACGGAAGCAGCAAUGCUUUAGUGGCGAACGGGUGAGUAACACGUAGGGAACCUACCUAUACGACGAGGAUAACUACUGGAAACGGUAGCUAAAACUGGAUAGGAUCAAUUGAGGCAUCUUGAUUGAUUUAAAGAUCCUUCGGGAUUACGUAGAGAUGGCCCUGCGGCGCAUUAGCUAGUUGGUGAGGUAACGGCCCACCAAGGCGACGAUGCGUAGCUGAGCUGAGAGGCUAAACAGCCACACUGGGACUGAGACACGGCCCAGACUCCUACGGGAGGCAGCAGUAGGGAAUUUUCGGCAAUGGGGGAAACCCUGACCGAGCAAUGCCGCGUGAACGAUGAAGGUCUUCGGAUUGUAAAGCUCUUUCAGUCGGGAAGAAAAGGCGGGCUCUAACAUAGCCCGUUGCUGACGGUACCGACAGAAGAAGCACCGGCUAACUACGUGCCAGCAGCCGCGGUAAA
Molecule: ribosomal RNA, 499 nt
Filed under: uncultured bacterium
Lineage: Bacteria
Description: bacterial SSU rRNA
Rfam family: Bacterial small subunit ribosomal RNA
Source: RNAcentral